AGAUUAAGUUAUUAAGGGCGCACGGUGGAUGCCUUGGCACUAGAAGCCGAUGAAGGACGUUACUAACGACGAUAUGCUUUGGGGAGCUGUAAGUAAGCUGUGAUCCAGAGAUUUCCGAAUGGGGGAACCCAGCACGAGUUAUGUCGUGUUAUCCGCAUGUGAAUACAUAGCAUGUGAGAAGGUAGACCCGGAGAACUGAAACAUCUUAGUACCCGGAGGAAGAGAAAGAAAAAUCGAUUCCCUGAGUAGCGGCGAGCGAAACGGGAAGAGCCCAAACCAACAAGCUUGCUUGUUGGGGUUGUAGGACACUCUGUACGGAGUUACAAAGGAAUAUGUUAGACGAAUAACCUGGAAAGGUUAAUCAUAGAAGGUAAUAAUCCUGUAGUCGAAAACGUAUACCCUCCUGAGUGGAUCCUGAGUACGGCGGAGCACGUGAAAUUCCGUCGGAAUCUGGGAGGACCAUCUCCCAAGGCUAAAUACUCUCUAGUGACCGAUAGUGAACCAGUACCGUGAGGGAAAGGUGAAAAGUACCCCGGAAGGGGAGUGAAAGAGAACUUGAAACCGUGUGCUUACAAGUAGUCAGAGCCCGUUAAUGGGUGAUGGCGUGCCUUUUGUAGAAUGAACCGGCGAGUUACGAUCUGAUGCAAGGUUAAGCAGAAAAUGUGGAGCCGUAGCGAAAGCGAGUCUGAAUAGGGCGAAUGAGUAUUUGGUCGUAGACCCGAAACCAGGUGAUCUACCCUUGGUCAGGUUGAAGUUCAGGUAACACUGAAUGGAGGACCGAACCGACUUACGUUGAAAAGUGAGCGGAUGAACUGAGGGUAGCGGAGAAAUUCCAAUCGAACUUGGAGAUAGCUGGUUCUCUCCGAAAUAGCUUUAGGGCUAGCCUCAAGUGAUGAUUAUUGGAGGUAGAGCACUGUUUGGACGAGGGGCCCCUCUCGGGUUACCGAAUUCAGACAAAC
Molecule: ribosomal RNA, 959 nt
Filed under: Staphylococcus hyicus
Lineage: Bacteria; Bacillati; Bacillota; Bacilli; Caryophanales; Staphylococcaceae
Description: bacterial LSU rRNA
Rfam family: Bacterial large subunit ribosomal RNA
Source: RNAcentral